Molecule: long non-coding RNA, 202 nt
Organism: Ipomoea nil (Japanese morning glory)
Lineage: Eukaryota; Viridiplantae; Streptophyta; Magnoliopsida; Solanales; Convolvulaceae
Exons: 2
Source: RefSeq, a predicted model, not a curated record
CACAAGAUUGGUUACAGUCAUCACUCCAAUCUGAUGCAACAGUAAGUCUCGUUCAAAUAUUAGAGAAAACUGAGUUUAUGAAUUUGCUUGCAGAAGAGAUCCGCAAAUCAGCAGGGCAACGUCAUGAUAUUGAUCUGGGAGGAUGGAUGAACAAGAUAUGACUUUGGAAUUUGAAUUGCUAUGUUGAUUUUGUGUUUGAAUU